This 380-nucleotide ribosomal RNA is filed under the name uncultured eukaryote. Its description in RNAcentral is "partial 18S ribosomal RNA". It matches the Rfam family "Eukaryotic small subunit ribosomal RNA", at positions 592 to 976 of the family's 1831-position model. The record is from RNAcentral.
CAAUAGCGUAUAUUAAAGUUGUUGCGGUUAAAAAGCUCGUAGUUGGAUUUCUGCUGAGAACGACCGGUCCGCCCUCUGGGUGUGUAUCUGGCUCUUUCUUGGCAUCUUCUUGGUGAACGUUGCUGCACUUGACUGUGUGGAGCGCUACCCAGGACUUUUACUUUGAGGAAAUUAGAGUGUUUCAAGCAGGCAUACGCCUUGAAUACAUUAGCAUGGAAUAAUAAGAUAGGACCUCGGUUCUAUUUUGUUGGUUUCUAGAGCUGAGGUAAUGAUUAAUAGGGAUAGUUGGGGGCAUUCGUAUUUAACUGUCAGAGGUGAAAUUCUUGGAUUUGUUAAAGACGGACUACCGCGAAAGCAUUUGCCAAGGAUGUUUUCAUUGA